RNAcentral lists this ribosomal RNA (468 nucleotides) under uncultured bacterium. RNAcentral describes it as "partial 16S ribosomal RNA". It matches the Rfam family "Bacterial small subunit ribosomal RNA", at positions 28 to 507 of the family's 1533-position model. The record is from RNAcentral.
GACGAACGCUGGCGGCGUGCUUAACACAUGCAAGUCGAACGGAAAGGCCCUGCUUUUGUGGGGUGCUCGAGUGGCGAACGGGUGAGUAACACGUGAGUAACCUGCCCUUGACUUUGGGAUAACUUCAGGAAACUGGGGCUAAUACCGGAUAGGAGCUCCUGCUGCAUGGUGGGGGUUGGAAAGUUUCGGCGGUUGGGGAUGGACUCGCGGCUUAUCAGCCUGUUGGUGGGGUAGUGGCUUACCAAGGCUUUGACGGGUAGCCGGCCUGAGAGGGUGACAGGCCACAUUGGGACUGAGAUACGGCCCAGACUCCUACGGGAGGCAGCAGUGGGGAAUAUUGCACAAUGGGCGGAAGCCUGAUGCAGCAACGCCGCGUGCGGGAUGACGGCCUUCGGGUUGUAAACCGCUUUCGCCUGUGACGAAGCGUGAGUGACGGUAAUGGGUAAAGAAGCACCGGCUAACUACGUG